AAACGAGGGGUGCUAGCGUUGCUCGGAAUCACUGGGCGUAAAGCGAGUGUAGGUGGUCUUACAAGUCGAAUGUGAAAUCCUGCGCCUUAACCGCAGAAGUGCAUCCGAAACUGUAAGACUAGAGCACGGUAGAGGGCGGGGGAAUUCCCGGUGGAGCGGUGAAAUGCGUUGAUAUCGGGAGGAAUACCAGUGGCGAAGGCGCCCGCCUGGGCCGUUGCUGACACUCAGACUCGAAAGCGUGGGGAGCAAACAGGAUUAGAUACCCUGGUAGUCCACGCCGUAAACGAUGCCUACUGGCUGUCGCGGGUAUAUACCCCUGCGGUAGCGAAGCUAACGCGUUAAGUAGGCCGCCUGGGGAGUACGGCCGCAAGGUUAAA
Molecule: ribosomal RNA, 377 nt
Filed under: uncultured bacterium
Lineage: Bacteria
Description: bacterial SSU rRNA
Rfam family: Bacterial small subunit ribosomal RNA
Source: RNAcentral